CAAAGGCCACUACAACACGAGUGACAGUCCGGUCAUCACACUUGUCUAUUUCCCUCCCGAGUGGUCAAGCUGUGAUCACCGCGAACUUGUCACCGCCGUCUCGGUCGACGCGUGAACUUGCGCCAGUUUUCACACCUUUUCUGAAUAUCGUCAAAACCGGUCGCCGUGUGUUGUUGCCGCGGUAAGCCCGACACCUUUUUGUUAUACGUGUGUGCCCGGUUGCGUUGUCCGGUGGCAUAAAACCACGUGUUUAUUACGACUUUUAAGCGGCGUUUAUAUAAACUUACGUUUUUCUAUUUAAUAUCGUGGCAUUGUGUGCGACCCGAUAUAUAAUUGUAUCAUAUUCUGCUGAUACUCAACGUGCGAUCACUUUUUUGCCCAGCUAUCGGCCAGGGUGUAACGUACCUUUUUCGGUCAUUGUAAUACAUACACUAUUUUGUAUAUAUACAUAUUAUAUCAGUAUAUUAUACGUAUACUGAUUUACGUCGUCAAGCUUAUCCUAAUAUUCGAUUAUACCAGUGAAGAUUCCCAACUUGGACCCGGGAAAGUUUGGAUCGACACCACUACUGGAUAUCAGAUAGGCUUAUGGCGAUGUGCCGAUGUGUAUUAUGUGCAUAUACUACAUAGUACCUACUUACAAUCAUACAUUUGUGCGGAGAGAUUUACCAUGACUCCGUGAACCAUUUAUAAGUUUAUGCAGACGCGUAAAAAGUGUGAAGAUUUGGUUGAUAGAUCAAAGUUCAGGAGACAGCAGUUUCAGUUCUACGAGGUAAAGACCGACGAGGUAAUACAGAGAAGAUAUAACUGCAUUUAAAAAAGUUUGAUUUUCAAAUUGUUUUCAUAUUAAUAUAUUGUUGACACGUUCUUUGUUCUUCGCCACUACAAAUUAUGAGAAAAAUAUUUUUAAUAAUAAAAAUAUUUCUUGGCACCACGGGAGGGACGACGAUCACGGCAAAUGAAGAACGAGGAUCCAUGGCGGCGGUCUCCGGUCGGCCGCCAAGACGACAAUCAACUUAUUAUUAUCUAACAUGUACUUUUUUCUGUAAGGGGAUAAAUCGGGGGAUUAUCCCCGUCAUCGGUCUUCCCAUUUGUAACAACGCUGUAUAACUUUUUGAUAUUUUUUCAAUAAACGAUGACGUCGAGCGUCGCGGAGGUUAUGCUAAAGCAGUUCCCGCGGCCUCAUCGAUUCAA
Molecule: long non-coding RNA, 1191 nt
Organism: Rhopalosiphum padi (bird cherry-oat aphid)
Lineage: Eukaryota; Metazoa; Arthropoda; Insecta; Hemiptera; Aphididae
Exons: 5
Source: RefSeq, a predicted model, not a curated record